Long non-coding RNA from Oxyura jamaicensis (ruddy duck), 500 nucleotides. RefSeq lists it as uncharacterized. NCBI's taxonomy places the organism in Eukaryota, Metazoa, Chordata, Aves, Anseriformes, Anatidae. The record is from RefSeq and is a predicted model, not a curated record. The transcript has 2 exons.
GAAGAAAAAGGUGUUUAAAAAAAUAAAUAAAUAAAAAUAAAAAAGCUGAAAGAUGCCCUGUUUCUGGAGAAUAAGCGGUAGGAAGGAACAGGGAAUAGGUCCACAUUGUCUUAUGCCCUUCGUGAGUGAAAAGUGGAACAUUUGGCCAAGAUCAUCUCAUUCCUGUGCUGUUUGGGACCUGACCUUCCUUUCUAGGCCUUCUACCAGCAUGUGUAAGUUUCAUCCUUUUCUUACUAUGGCAGGGUAACAUAACCAGGACAGUAAAGGCUUUCUGAACAUUAUAUAGCUGUUGUUAGUGGAACCUGUUCCAGAAAGGGAACUACAAAAAGCAGGUGGAGCCCGCCUUUGUUCUUUAUGCUUCAGACAGCUGAAGACAGGGAAGAACUGGAUCCCCACCAAAAAGCAAAUACGGCAGCAUAUCACACUUUUGCCACAAAUUAGAGCUUGGAAAUAAUCUAGAAAACAGUGGAAUAAAGAAGUCUAAAUUCUCACAGGGAAAA